GUGGGGAAUAUUGGACAAUGGGCGAAAGCCUGAUCCAGCCAUGCCGCGUGUGUGAAGAAGGUCUUCGGAUUGUAAAGCACUUUAAGUUGGGAGGAAGGGCAGUAAGUUAAUACCUUGCUGUUUUGACGUUACCGACAGAAUAAGCACCGGCUAACUUCGUGCCAGCAGCCGCGGUAAUACGAAGGGUGCAAGCGUUAAUCGGAAUUACUGGGCGUAAAGCGCGCGUAGGUGGUUUUGUAAGUUGGAGGUGAAAUCCCCGGGCUCAACCUGGGAACUGCCUCCAAAACUGCAUGACUAGAGUACGGUAGAGGGUAGUGGAAUUUCCUGUGUAGCGAUGAAAUGCGUAGAUAUAGGAAGGAACACCAGUGGCGAAGGCGACUACCUGGACUGAUACUGACACUGAGGUGCGAAAGCGUGGGGAGCAAACAGGAUUAGAAACCCUUGUAGUCC
RNAcentral lists this ribosomal RNA (450 nucleotides) under uncultured bacterium. RNAcentral describes it as "partial 16S ribosomal RNA". It matches the Rfam family "Bacterial small subunit ribosomal RNA", at positions 354 to 796 of the family's 1533-position model. The record is from RNAcentral.